UUUGUUAAUCAAUUUCUUAGAUUUACUAUUGUAAAACCCUAUGGCGUUCAUAUAUCAUUUCCUUAUGCAACAUCAGGACGAACAAAAGAAUAAGAAAACUUGCGAUAUCGACACAGAAGAACAUGACAAACUUAGAUUAACAAUAGCGUUUGAUAUUGUCUUCUCCUUAGAGUGUCAAAUGUUACAAUUUUUACAAGAUGCAGAUGAAUAUAAUAAUAUAAUAUACGUAAAACCAUCCUCUCAACUAGAUCGAGCUGAAAAAACAAAGGUGAGCUGGGCUGGGCUUAAGAGAAGAAGCCGAAGGUGUCGAAAAUGGUAGUGUGAAGUGGGUCACUCAAGUGGGUAGCCCAGUUGUUAAGUGGGCCUUUUCCAGUAGCAGCAGCUUGGACAGCAAAGCCCAAGAAUGCAACCAUAGCAAGACGAGCAUGCUUGAUCUCAGCAAGUUGAAGUGUGGCCUUUUUCUCCGGGUCAGCAGCAAGGCCCAAUGGGUCGAAGAAUGAUCCACCAGGGUAAAGCCUCUUUUCUGGGUCAAGCUCGGCGUUUCUUUGGAAUUCAAUGUAUCCAAUAACAAGGACCUCAACCCAGAUCAAUGUUGUAAUGGAGAAUGGGAGUGGUUGCCCCAAGUAGGAUGAUCCUUCAACCAACUCAACCUAUGCAAGUACAAUAAAGAGUUAAAUGAGUUAGAAAUGGCAAGUACAACACAAUCACAAGUUAAACUAUACUAUACUGACGUCUGGGAUUAAUUUUGGGAUGAGUUUAUCUCACGUUUUAAUUAGGAUAAAAUUAUGGUAUAACUAAACUCGGAAUUGUAGAGUUUUUAAAUUAUAUGAUGACUUGUUUCCCAACCAAAGGACCACAUAAUGUAAAUACUUUAAUCCUAUAUACCUUCUAGAGCAGCAAGGUGACAAAUUAAAUAUCCCUUUCAGGAAAAACUCAUCCAUACUCGAUGAACUUCCAACAUUAUUUAAUCAUAGUUAUAAUAUAAAUUUUGACCUCAUUAAAUUAGUUAACCAACUAUAUGGUAUAAACGACGAGUGCAGUUAAAUGUAUAUCGCUCCUCAACUACACUAUGCAAUUUCUAGCUUAAACUGUCCAUAAAACAUCAAAAUUUUCCACUUUAGGUUUGAUCGCGCGUAAAAUCAAGUGAUUAGAAACUUUGUUUUCAUACUUUCUUGAUCUAUUUUUUUGAUUUAUCUCAAGCUCGAUCACGAGCAUAUUGCUUUUUUUUUUUUGCACCAAAGUUUCUAAUAAAUAUUGAUGAUGUUUAAAUUCUGUUCCCAAUGGGAUUGUAAUCCCAAUUUAGCAACAUAGUAAAUCCACAAAUUCGAAACUAGAUAGGCAACCAUGGACAAUGAGGAAGGAAUAAUCACAAGCACCAUGCACAAGCCUACUAUUCAGGCAUCAAAAUGAAAUACGGAAAGUUGGAAAUAAAGUACGGAUCCAAGAUUUUGAAUUAAUAGUAUGUAUUACAACAGAGUUAUUACUCUUUAAUUACAUUUUAUGCAAAUAUAGUAUAGAUAUAAAUUUUUACUUAAAACUUUUCAUACAUAUUUAAUUCAAAUAAGCAUUUAGUGGGUAUAUAUAUGCUUACAAUUACAAAUGACGCUGAGCAUGAAUUAACAUGUAAUAAGAUUUAUCUAUUCAAAAAUCAAAGAAAGUAAUGUAUCAGUACUGCAAAAGAUUAACUAGGGAACUUAAAUUAUGUAGCUAUCAACUUAAAUUUGUUCAUUGUUUUAGACUUUUAUUACUACCAGUAAAAUUUUAGCACAUGUCUUAUAUUCUUGGUAGCUAGUUCCAAUUUCUUAUUGUCAGUCAAUUAUCAGUAGUUAUUUUAAAGUGAUAAUUUAGCACAUGUCUUAUAUUCCUCCGUUUCAGUGAACUCAUUUGGCUGCAUACAGAUAAAUUAUUUUUAAAUAAGAAAAGAAAUUAUUCUUUGUUACACGAACUAAAAAGAAAAUAUAUUUACAUAAAUUGAAUAUAAACUAAGUUAAUCUCAGGUUAUGAUACGUUCAUGCAAAAGCAAAAAAUGCAGUAGGUAGUACCUUUCCGGCGUCUUGCCAUGUAAUACCAGUGAGCCAUUCAACAGUCAAAGCACCAAGCGUAGCCAACAUAGCCCAUCUCCCAUGGAUCAGCUCACAUUCUCUGAACCUCUGCAGUCCAAACACCUCACUGUACGGCUGGAACGGUGUCGAUUUCACAUCAGCA
RNAcentral lists this long non-coding RNA (2205 nucleotides) under Nicotiana benthamiana. Its description in RNAcentral is "long non-coding RNA (NBEN_LNC030113)". The record is from RNAcentral. Lineage: Eukaryota; Viridiplantae; Streptophyta; Magnoliopsida; Solanales; Solanaceae.